AGCAGCCGCGGUAAUUCCAGCUCCAAUAGCGUAUAUUAAAGUUGUUGCAGUUAAAAAGCUCGUAGUUGAAUUUUAGACCUGACCGGGCGGUCCGUCUCUGGCGAGUACUGUCUGUUGUCGGGUCUAUCCUUCUGGUGAGCCGGUAUGCCCUUUAUUGGGUGUGUCGGGGAACCAGGACCAUUUACCUUGAAAAAAUUAGAGUGUUUAAAGCGGGCUUUUGCUUGAAUAGAUUAGCAUGGAAUAAUAGAAUAGGACGUUGGUUCUAUUUUGUUGGUCUAGGACCACCGUAAUGAUUAAUAGGGAUAGUUGGGGGCAUUAGUAUUCAAUUGUCAGAGGUGAAAUUCUUGGAUUUAUUGAAGACUAACUACUGCGAAAGCAUUUGCCAAGGAUGUUUUCAUUAAUCAAGAACGAAAGUUAGGGGAUCGAAGACGAUCAGAUACCGUCGUAGUCUUAACCAUAAACUAUGCCGACUAGGAAUCGGGCGACGUUAUUCUCAUGACUCGCUCGGCGCCUUAUGGGA
This 520-nucleotide ribosomal RNA is filed under the name uncultured Archaeospora. RNAcentral's name for it is "SSU rRNA". It matches the Rfam family "Eukaryotic small subunit ribosomal RNA", at positions 569 to 1095 of the family's 1831-position model. Lineage: Eukaryota; Fungi; Glomeromycota; Glomeromycetes; Archaeosporales; Archaeosporaceae. The record is from RNAcentral.